UGCCUUGAGGGAAGCUGGAAAAGCAUUUGCAGUCAGUUGGGAGAGCAUUAUAUCUAAGGCUGUAUUAAGGUUGCUGUAGUAUGGACCUUGUGGAGAGUUGCAACCAAUUUGACUAGUCUGUUACAGUUAGUAAAAGGAGAAGUAGUCACUAUACAGUGAGAAAAGGUGGAUUAGAAAUCAGAGCUUGAAAUGUUGAAGGAACAGAAAUGGAAUCGCAGUGCUGAGCUGGAAAAACAGGAGAAGAAAAACAGUGGAGGUCAAUGUGUCUCCGCUGGAAAGGAGUCCCUGUGAUGUGAGUCCAGCCAGCACAUGAUGAAGAAUAUACAAAAGCUCAGACAAUAAAAACUCAAGCUGAGAGGUUAGGUUGGCAAUUGAAAGAAGCUUAAGUAGCUUUCAGAGUAGUGGUGAGAGGCAGUGUUGUGGAUUGGAUCAUUCAGCUUGCCAGAGGGUGAUUCAGUCUUUGCAAAGGGUACUGCAGGAAAAGCACGGUGUGGUUGCAGCCAUCAGUACCAAAUUUAGAGAGGAAGAUGUGGAUCACAGGAUGCAGGGAGUUCAUGACAGCAGGAAGUCAAGUUGUGCAAACCGUACAUUCCCCAAUAAUAUACACGGUGUCUGCGAGAACUCCGAGUAGGCAUGUAUCAAGCCGACAGUUAGCACAGUGAAUCCUAGGUGUAGUGAAUCAGAGAACAGCAGUGGGGAAAAAUGAAAGAUUUUUGCAGAGGUACUGUAUGGAUUGCUAAUGGAAGGGUAUGAGUAUGGCUGUCUGCUAUCAGUGUAUCAGAGAAAAAUUGGCCUAUUAAGUCUCGAUUCGGUCUUGAAUGAGCAAAAGAAAGAAUUUGAAUACUGUUUACUUACAGAUCCACUUACUUUAGAACAAGGGAGGAAAACCAGAUCUUAAACAAUUUGGGUAAACGAGGAAACAGAAAUAAAAGAAAAAGAGUGCCCACCUUGCUCAAGGAGAUGAAAUUUCAGCUAUUAAGAAAAUAGUAGAAGAAGAUUCAGAGAAACCAUUAACUAUUUCCACAGAUUUGGGGUGGGUUUGUCAAUCUUUGUUUCCCAAUCAGUAUGGGGAAGGAAAAGGGAUAUGUUAAGGGGGUGGUAAAACAGUAAUACACACCACCCUUUGGGAAUGUGUGGCUCAGUCCCCAAGGAUUACACAAGCAGUGUGUUUGAAAAAGCAUAGUCUGGAUGUAAUUGUGGAAAAAGCUGAUUAUACGCUGUAGUAUGAAGAAAUAGCAAAAUAAAGAACAGACAACUCUGGGGGCAAGUGAUUUCAUCAAUCUCAGUUAAAGCUUUGGAGAAGUGAAUCAAAAAUGUAACUCGGUGUCUGUGGUAGGUCCCUGUGGUUUAUUUUGCAGGAUGAUGCUACCAGCAUUAGGGUUGAAGAGAAACAGCUCAACCUAGUGAUGGUGUUGGUGACUUCUGUAAUGUCCCUUCAAGCAAGUAUGUAGGCAUAGAAGGAAGAGGUGAAUAAAACGGAAGGAAAAAGGCUUGAAACAGGAGCACCAAGCACUGAGACAGUACUUUAGUAAGGAGUUGACAGAAUUGUUGGUUUAAAUGUGUAUACGAAGGAGAAAUGAAUAAUGAAAUACUGCAGCUGAAAGAGAUAGAGGUAACACGGAAGGAAGGUUGUAUAAGUAAGUAUUAGAGGAGACUUACACGUAUCUAGUAACCAAAGCUUAAUAUCUGUGUCCAUCUCUUUCUUUUGUUUUCAAAUGUUAACUACAAUUGUAGUUGAGAAACUUAAUUAGUAUUGAUAAAACUGGUAGUUUACUUUUAGAAAGCAGAGAAUGGCAAAGCUACCCAUAGUAUAGCAAAAAUAUCUGACAUCUCAACCAUGAAAGAAAAUUUUUUUGUAUAGGCUAUAGCAGACUUAGGAGCACAGAUAUCUGCGAAGAAACUUACUGUGCCAAGAAGACAGGAUAAUUUUGGUAGUUAUUGUUGUUCUGUGCCUGCUCUAUUAGAAUGAUACCAUAGAUUUGAUGGUUGUUUAUUUACACUAAUUAUGAAGCUUAACUGUUUGUUAGAAGGGAAAAGAUGGAACCAGUGGGUAUUAAGCAAAUGGACAACAGACGUAAGCCAAUCACAACCGUAUUACGGAAGAGAAAUAGUAGCUUGUUGGCUAGGAUAUUAGCAAAAGAAAAGGACAAAGGAGUUUGCUGUCUGAAUACAAUAAAUAUCUUACAGAGGUGGGCAGCUUGCUCAAUGGAUAGCUUCAUCAAGUUAAAAAUAAUAAAAACAACACAAAACUUUUUUUGGAUGGUAACAUUUUUCUGGCAUCACUAAUGACAAGCGACAGUGGCAUACAAACUUGUAAUUAAGGAAUGUCACUGUCACAGAAUACUAGCUGAAGACAUCCUUUAGCUAUGGAGAAACUUUAAACUUUUUUGGGGGUAAAGUUUCUAAACAGUCCUUUUUAAAAAAAAAAAAAAAAAAAAAAAAAAAAAGUAAAAAUGAAAAUUAUAGCUUCUCAUGUAGAAAUUGAGGAAAUCAUUACAUCUAAUUAUUAUUAAUCUUUGGCACUGUAAUUAAGUAGUGUUUUGGUGCUAUUUCUCAGUUAUCAAUAAAUCACCUGGCUAUUAACAAGAAAUAAUUGUUUCUAAAUGUCAAAACUUUGAUCAGUUCCGAUGACAUUUGUUGCCAUCACAAGCAACUUGUGUUUGGACAGCUUUUGACAAUGUUUGAUGACUGCCAAAUAUAUUUCACCCAGAUGGACGUGGGAAGUAUACAUGUCAAACAAAUAUGUAUGCGUUAGAACACCAAAUACCAAUGGAAAUGUUGCUGUCGCUACAGAGCAAGCAUCAGUGAAUCCUGGUUUGUAUUGAUACUUGUAUAAAUAUUUUUGUUAAUGGACUUGUGUAGUUAACAGCCUGUUAAAUACCUUCUGGAGACCAUUUAUUAUGGAAGGCCAGGGACAGCUUGCAAUUUUGUCUGUGAAGUCAUUUAUAAAAAAUUGUAUGUUUUGUUUUGGGUUUUUUUUUCAUUUUGUUCUAUGUAGCUGUGUGUGUCAGGGUUUUGUGACUUUCCUGCCAUGUUGUAAAGGUCAGGAUUGGAAAGAGGGACUCUAACUUCUGACCAAAGGGGUAGUGCUCUGCAGCUUCUGAUGGGCAUGGCACUUUGCUUUUUUGUAAAAAUGUGCUGUUUUCUGGGUAUGUGCAAGAACUGACUUAACCUUUUUUUUUCUUUUCUCUCUAGAAGAUCAGUCGAGAGAGUGCAUAAGGCUAAACAGUAACAUUUUGGACAAAUUGAGACUUUGAUUUUUACAGAAUGUUACUGGUUUGUUAAUUUCUGUAUGAAUGAAAUUAUUUACAACAUCUUCCUUUUAUGCCCAGACUGUCCCCAGGGUGGUACGUACUGGUUGUUUGAUAGACUGCCAACCAUUGUGCAAAGCAUUGUCUUGGGGGCAAAAAAGUCUGUGUUUUGUCUCAUUGUUCCUACUCUUUGCCGUCUGUUAACGUGAUCUGUGUUCUCUUUCAGGUUGUUUUACUGUAUGGGCUGCAGGACCUCGAGGGGAUCCUUCCGGGGCUCUGAAUUGUGGAAAGUUUACGUGCAUGUUCUAAUUUAUCCUUCAGCUGAGUCAGGUGGAAAAAUACUGCAGGUGAACAUAAUACUGUUUUGUCACUAGAAAAUUAACUGCUGGACUGAAAUCAGCCUGGAAAAGUAAAGAGGUCAUGACACAACAUCUGUUUUUUGGAGAGUAUAGUUAUUACCACCAAAUAAUAUAGCAGACACUGGAGUGGAAAAAAUAACUCCAGAACAGAGCUGCUGUAGUGAUGCCUUUUUGACCACGGUUCUGUGGAUUACAUUGACUGGAUUUCCCUAAGAUGCAUGCUUGGAAGAAUUUCUGACGAUACUGGACGAGACACAAACCAAUUGCUUUGCAGGUGGCUGCUGUUCAAUUUCUGGGCACGGGAGGUGCCUUGAAGAAAUGCUGAGUGCUUGCUAUUGCUGCUGAGGAAUGAGAACAUGAUGUGCCUCCUCUGUGGCUUUCCUUAAAUAAAGGGCAUUCCUGUUUCCAAGGCAGAAAUGUCACAAGGAG
Long non-coding RNA from Dromaius novaehollandiae (emu), 4039 nucleotides. RefSeq lists it as uncharacterized. The transcript is spliced from 4 exons. Lineage: Eukaryota; Metazoa; Chordata; Aves; Casuariiformes; Dromaiidae. The record is from RefSeq and is a predicted model, not a curated record.